GGGGCUAUAGCUCAGCUGGGAGAGCGCUUGCAUGGCAUGCAAGAGGUCGACGGGUCGAUCCCGUCUAGCUCCACCA
This 76-nucleotide transfer RNA is filed under the name Serratia sp. YC16. Its description in RNAcentral is "tRNA-Ala". It matches the Rfam family "tRNA". Rfam says of the family: Transfer RNA (tRNA) molecules are approximately 80 nucleotides in length. Their secondary structure includes four short double-helical elements and three loops (D, anti-codon, and T loops). The record is from RNAcentral. Lineage: Bacteria; Pseudomonadati; Pseudomonadota; Gammaproteobacteria; Enterobacterales; Yersiniaceae.